UAGUCCACGCCGUAAACGAUGAUUACUCGAUGUAUGUCCGAUUGAGGAUAUGCGUCUUAGGGAAACCGAUAAGUAAUCCACCUGGGGAGUACGCUGGCAACAGUGAAACUCAAAGGAAUUGACGGGGAUCCGCACAAGCGGUGGAGCAUGUGGCUUAAUUCGAGGAUACGCGAAGAACCUUAUCCUAGAUUUGACAUGCUUGAGAGUCUCUAUGAAAGUAGAGAGUGCCCUUCGGGGAGCUCUUGCACAGGUGCUGCAUGGCUGUCGUCAGCUCGUGUCGUGAGAUGUCGGGUUAAGUCCCUUAACGAGCGAAACCCUUAUCUUUAGUUGCCAGCGGGUAAUGCCGGGACUCUAAAGAGACUGCCGGUGUCAAACCGGAGGAAGGUAAGGAUGACGUCAAGUCAGCAUGCCCCUUACGCUCUGGGCUACACACGUGCUACAAUGGUCGUGACAAAGAGUUGCUAGUCUGCGAAGGCAAGCCAAUCUCAUAAACG
RNAcentral lists this ribosomal RNA (494 nucleotides) under uncultured bacterium. RNAcentral describes it as "bacterial SSU rRNA". It matches the Rfam family "Bacterial small subunit ribosomal RNA", at positions 791 to 1282 of the family's 1533-position model. The record is from RNAcentral.